RNAcentral lists this ribosomal RNA (723 nucleotides) under Bacillus sp. PR5. RNAcentral describes it as "bacterial SSU rRNA". It matches the Rfam family "Bacterial small subunit ribosomal RNA", at positions 1 to 772 of the family's 1533-position model. The record is from RNAcentral. Lineage: Bacteria; Bacillati; Bacillota; Bacilli; Caryophanales; Bacillaceae.
CAACUUGAGAGUUUGAUCCUGGCUCAGAACGAACGCUGGCGGCAGGCUUAACACAUGCAAGUCGAGCGCCCCGCAAGGGGAGCGGCAGACGGGUGAGUAACGCGUGGGAACGUACCUUUUGCUACGGAAUAACUCAGGGAAACUUGUGCUAAUACCGUAUGUGCCCGAAAGGGGAAAGAUUUAUCGGCAAAGGAUCGGCCCGCGUUGGAUUAGCUAGUUGGUGAGGUAAAGGCUCACCAAGGCGACGAUCCAUAGCUGGUCUGAGAGGAUGAUCAGCCACACUGGGACUGAGACACGGCCCAGACUCCUACGGGAGGCAGCAGUGGGGAAUAUUGGACAAUGGGCGCAAGCCUGAUCCAGCCAUGCCGCGUGAGUGAUGAAGGCCCUAGGGUUGUAAAGCUCUUUCACCGGUGAAGAUAAUGACGGUAACCGGAGAAGAAGCCCCGGCUAACUUCGUGCCAGCAGCCGCGGUAAUACGAAGGGGGCUAGCGUUGUUCGGAUUUACUGGGCGUAAAGCGCACGUAGGCGGACUUUUAAGUCAGGGGUGAAAUCCCGGGGCUCAACCCCGGAACUGCCUUUGAUACUGGAAGUCUUGAGUAUGGUAGAGGUGAGUGGAAUUCCGAGUGUAGAGGUGAAAUUCGUAGAUAUUCGGAGGAACACCAGUGGCGAAGGCGGCUCACUGGACCAUUACUGACGCUGAGGUGCGAAAGCGUGGGGAGCAAA